RNAcentral lists this microRNA precursor (161 nucleotides) under Leersia perrieri. RNAcentral's name for it is "pre miRNA MIR2118". It matches the Rfam family "MIR2118 microRNA precursor family". Lineage: Eukaryota; Viridiplantae; Streptophyta; Magnoliopsida; Poales; Poaceae. The record is from Rfam by way of RNAcentral.
GCCAGGAAGAGGAAGAGAGACUCUUAAGAGCAGUAGGAAUGGGAACAUGAAGGAAAGCCAAAUAAAGCUCUAACUCCUAGGGUUGGAGAUUUGAUCUGAUGAUUUUCCUGAUGCCUCCCAUUCCUAUAGUUCUUAGGUGCCUGUUCCUCUUACUUUCGGCU